This 310-nucleotide ribosomal RNA is filed under the name uncultured Planctomycetota bacterium. Its description in RNAcentral is "bacterial SSU rRNA". It matches the Rfam family "Bacterial small subunit ribosomal RNA", at positions 29 to 351 of the family's 1533-position model. Lineage: Bacteria; Pseudomonadati; Planctomycetota. The record is from RNAcentral.
AAUGAACGUUGGCGGCGUGGAUUAGGCAUGCAAGUCGAGCGAGAAGCCCCCUUCGGGGGUGGGACAGCGGCGAAAGGGAGAGUAACGCGUGGAUUACCUACCCCCGGGACUGGGAUAGCUGCGGGGAAACUGCAGGUAAUACCGGAUAAUGUCCCCGGACCAAAGGUGAGAUUCCGCCUGGGGAUGGGUCCGCGUCCUAUUAGCUAGUUGGUGGGGUAACGGCCUACCAAGGCAACGAUGGGUACGAGGUGUGAGAGCAUGACCUCGCUCACUGGGACUGAGACACUGCCCAGACACCUACGGGUGGCUG